RNAcentral lists this transfer RNA (83 nucleotides) under Candidatus Omnitrophota bacterium. RNAcentral's name for it is "Candidatus Omnitrophica bacterium (groundwater metagenome) tRNA-Leu". It matches the Rfam family "tRNA". Rfam says of the family: Transfer RNA (tRNA) molecules are approximately 80 nucleotides in length. Their secondary structure includes four short double-helical elements and three loops (D, anti-codon, and T loops). The record is from RNAcentral. Lineage: Bacteria; Pseudomonadati; Candidatus Omnitrophota.
GCCGAGGUGGUGGAACGGUUUACACGACAGACUUAAAAUCUGUUGGGCUUUAGCCCAUGUGGGUUCGAAUCCCACCCUCGGCA